Molecule: long non-coding RNA, 644 nt
Organism: Macadamia integrifolia
Lineage: Eukaryota; Viridiplantae; Streptophyta; Magnoliopsida; Proteales; Proteaceae
Exons: 2
Source: RefSeq, a predicted model, not a curated record
CUAGGGUUUGAAGCCCAGUUACUUCUCUCUCGUAUUAUAGCUCAAUGGGAGAUAAUCGGAAUCUGUAUGAAACCUAGAUCCGUUAAUGAUCGAGAUUGGAAGAAAGGGCGUCAGCGACCAAGUUUCCUCGGUUAACAUACCUUUACUACUGACCAACGGUAAGUCAGGGCGGAGGCAUGAAUGGUAACACGGCUCCAGCGUGAGCGUCGCCGCCUGAGUUUGUCUAGGAACACUAUCCUCCCGUGGUAUGCCUGUGUCUGAGGGAUUCAUCAUUAACCGGGGAUCUAAAAUAACUUGUCAGUGUUCUCUGUAGGAGAGAGUGGCUCCUCAACGCCUCCCUUUAAAUGUUCUCUCUUGAGGAGAAGAAGAACAUGUUCUCUCUUGAGGAGAAGAAGAACAUUGAAAUUUUUGGUAAAUCUCAAUGCUGAAACUCUCCAUUGAAGGUAAGGGAAGGUUGCAGGUGCUAGCGGAAGGUAGGAGAUGAUUGAUUUUUCUUGCUUGUUUUAGGAAUCGGACAAGAGUUGGACGGUUUAUCGACAAUGCAUUUGAGACUUUAUAACUUCUAAUAAUUUCAACCUCUUUCCAUUAAAUCCCCUCAUAAUAUUGAAACUUUCAAUCAAUUGCCUCGUUACAUCAUUGUUGAA